AUUGAACGCUGGCGGUAUGCUUAACACAUGCAAGUCGAACGGCAGCAUGGGGAGCUUGCUCCCUGAUGGCGAGUGGCGGGACGGGUGAGUAACACGUAGGAAUCUACCUAGUAGGCGGGGGAUAACCCGGGGAAACUCGGGCUAAUACCGCAUAAUCUCUUCGGAGCAAAGAGGGCCUCUUCUUGAAAGCUCUUACUAUUAGAUGAGCCUGCGCCGGAUUAGCUUGUUGGUGGGGUAAAGGCCUACCAAGGCAACGAUCCGUAGCUGGUCUGAGAGGAUGAUCAGCCACACUGGGACUGAGACACGGCCCAG
RNAcentral lists this ribosomal RNA (312 nucleotides) under uncultured bacterium. RNAcentral's name for it is "bacterial SSU rRNA". It matches the Rfam family "Bacterial small subunit ribosomal RNA", at positions 30 to 334 of the family's 1533-position model. The record is from RNAcentral.